This is a transfer RNA of Camelus ferus (Wild Bactrian camel), 72 nucleotides long. It matches the Rfam family "tRNA". From Rfam's summary of the family: Transfer RNA (tRNA) molecules are approximately 80 nucleotides in length. The record is from Rfam. Lineage: Eukaryota; Metazoa; Chordata; Mammalia; Artiodactyla; Camelidae.
UGGGGUAUAGCUCAAUGGCAGAGCAUGUGUUUGGUGUUCAUGAGGUCCUGGGUUCAAUCUCCAGUGCCUCCA